This 837-nucleotide ribosomal RNA is filed under the name Micrococcus sp. Its description in RNAcentral is "bacterial SSU rRNA". It matches the Rfam family "Bacterial small subunit ribosomal RNA", at positions 21 to 869 of the family's 1533-position model. The record is from RNAcentral. Lineage: Bacteria; Bacillati; Actinomycetota; Actinomycetes; Micrococcales; Micrococcaceae.
UGCUCAGGAUGAACGCUGGCGGCGUGCUUAACACAUGCAAGUCGAACGAUGAAGCCCAGCUUGCUGGGUGGAUUAGUGGCGAACGGGUGAGUAACACGUGAGUAACCUGCCCUUAACUCUGGGAUAAGCCUGGGAAACUGGGUCUAAUACCGGAUAGGAGCGUCCACCGCAUGGUGGGUGUUGGAAAGAUUUAUCGGUUUUGGAUGGACUCGCGGCCUAUCAGCUUGUUGGUGAGGUAAUGGCUCACCAAGGCGACGACGGGUAGCCGGCCUGAGAGGGUGACCGGCCACACUGGGACUGAGACACGGCCCAGACUCCUACGGGAGGCAGCAGUGGGGAAUAUUGCACAAUGGGCGCAAGCCUGAUGCAGCGACGCCGCGUGAGGGAUGACGGCCUUCGGGUUGUAAACCUCUUUCAGUAGGGAAGAAGCGAAAGUGACGGUACCUGCAGAAGAAGCACCGGCUAACUACGUGCCAGCAGCCGCGGUAAUACGUAGGGUGCGAGCGUUAUCCGGAAUUAUUGGGCGUAAAGAGCUCGUAGGCGGUUUGUCGCGUCUGUCGUGAAAGUCCGGGGCUUAACCCCGGAUCUGCGGUGGGUACGGGCAGACUAGAGUGCAGUAGGGGAGACUGGAAUUCCUGGUGUAGCGGUGGAAUGCGCAGAUAUCAGGAGGAACACCGAUGGCGAAGGCAGGUCUCUGGGCUGUAACUGACGCUGAGGAGCGAAAGCAUGGGGAGCGAACAGGAUUAGAUACCCUGGUAGUCCAUGCCGUAAACGUUGGGCACUAGGUGUGGGGACCAUUCCACGGUUUCCGCGCCGCAGCUAACGCAUUAAGUGCCC